This is a non-coding RNA of Arachis ipaensis, 1161 nucleotides long. The record is from RefSeq and is a predicted model, not a curated record. NCBI's taxonomy places the organism in Eukaryota, Viridiplantae, Streptophyta, Magnoliopsida, Fabales, Fabaceae.
AAGCCAAAUCCUAACACUCAGUGAAAUUUUUAUUCUCCUUUCAAUUCCCUCCAACAUAACCCUCUCACCUUCAAUACGCGCACAACCUCACCUUCGCCAACCCUUUCGCGCUCAACAACCCUCAACUUCGCCAUUCUCACCUUCAACAUUCAUCACCUACGACACUCAUCAUCACCCUUCUCCUUCUCACUGUCGCCGUUGACCCUCGCCACCCAGUCACCACUCACCGCCAGUCACCACUCACCACAUCGAUGCGCAAACCAGUUCACCACUCACCAGCUGACCAAUCACCACUCACCACUGACCGCCAGUCACCGCUCACCAUUCGCCAUCGACACUCAUUGUCACCACUGCACUGACCAUUGCUCUUCUUCUGUGUUCUGCACUAAUCGUCGCUGCGGCGCCCUCGGCAUCGUCAUCUCCGUGCUUCUCAUCUCGUCUUCUCUGUGCUCACAUCAUUGAAAAGAUAAAGGUUGAAGACUUCUUUAGGUACUUUUUCUCAGAUGAUGUUGUAAACUUUCAUGAGUCUUUCCAUAAAAGAUGUGGUGAUAAAGACUUAAAGUGUAGUUCGUGGCGUCCUCAAGAGAAAUUUGGGUAUGCUCGUGAACUAUCUUUUCAACAUCCAAUAAGACUUUAUCUUGAAGACUGUUUCUGAGUUUAUGGCACAGCUAAAUGAGAAAUCUUUCGAACUUGAGGUCAAAGUAGCAGAUAAUCAUAUAAUUCAAGAACAGCUUAAUCAGAAGAUCGGUGACUGAAAAUCCGCGAGAAAUGAUUGCUUCUCUGAAACAGCAACUUGAAGAUGCACUGGAGUUGAGAAAUUUUAGCCCUGUAGCAAAUCAUUCUCAACAUGGUGAACUUCAUCUUGACAAGGGAAAUGAGUUGAUAAAUGAUACAAAUGAAGGGCUGCUUUUACAAGCACAGGGUAACAAUGAAGAUUAAGCAAUGAAGAUUAAGCUUAUUAUUAUUGUGGUUUAUUAGCUAAGAUAGAGCUGUUUAGAAUCUUUACAUCUAUGGUUGAUUAAUAACUUUUAUUAGAAGAUACUUAUGUAUGUAGGAUAUGUUUUUUUGUAGAGUAUUAGUUGUAAAUUCUAAGUGAUAUUAUGGUUAUUUUAAUAUGGCUAUGCUUACUUUAGUAUGAGAUGUAUGAAUUUUUACAAUUAA